GAUGAACGCUGGCGGCGUGCUUAACACAUGCAAGUCGAACGGGAAAUACUUUAUUGAAACUUCGGUGGAUUUAAUUUAUUUCUAGUGGCGGACGGGUGAGUAACGCGUGGGUAACCUGCCUUAUACUGGGGGAUAACAGCCAGAAAUGACUGCUAAUACCGCAUAAGCGCACAGAACCGCAUGGUUCGGUGUGAAAAACUCCGGUGGUAUAAGAUGGACCCGCGUUGGAUUAGCUAGUUGGCAGGGCAGCGGCCUACCAAGGCGACGAUCCAUAGCCGGCCUGAGAGGGUGAACGGCCACAUUGGGACUGAGACACGGCCCAGACUCCUACGGGAGGCAGCAGUGGGGAAUAUUGCACAAUGGGGGAAACCCUGAUGCAGCGACGCCGCGUGAAGGAAGAAGUAUCUCGGUAUGUAAACUUCUAUCAGCAGGGAAGAUAAUGACGG
Molecule: ribosomal RNA, 446 nt
Filed under: uncultured bacterium
Lineage: Bacteria
Description: bacterial SSU rRNA
Rfam family: Bacterial small subunit ribosomal RNA
Source: RNAcentral